Molecule: ribosomal RNA, 352 nt
Filed under: uncultured bacterium
Lineage: Bacteria
Description: bacterial SSU rRNA
Rfam family: Bacterial small subunit ribosomal RNA
Source: RNAcentral
AGAGUUUGAUCAUGGCUCAGGAUGAACGCUAGCUACAGGCUUAACACAUGCAAGUCGAGGGGAAACGACAUCGAAAGCUUGCUUUUGAUGGGCGUCGACCGGCGCACGGGUGAGUAACGCGUAUCCAACCUGCCCAUCACUUGGGGAUAACCUUGCGAAAGUAAGACUAAUACCCAAUGACGUCUCUACCGAAGACAUCUGAAAGAGAUUAAAGAUUUAUCGGUGAUGGAUGGGAUGCGUCUGAUUAGCUUGUUGGCGGGGUAACGGCCCACCAAGGCGACGAUCAGUAGGGGUUCUGAGAGGAGGUCCCCCACAUUGGAACUGAGACACGGUCCAACUCCUACGGGAGGCA